GGCGAUCAGGUACCGCCCUAGUUCUGACCGUAAACGAUGCCAACUAGCGAUCCGCCGGCGGCUCCAAGGCCCUGGUGGGGAGCUUCCCGGAAACGAAAGUCUUCCGGUUCCGGGGGAAGUAUGGUUGCAAAGCUGAAACUUAAAGGAAUUGACGGAAGGGCACCACCAGGAGUGGAGCCUGCGGCUUAAUUUGACUCAACACGGGAAAACUCACCCGGCCCGGACACCGUGAGGAUUGACAGAUUGAUAGCUUUUUCAUGAUUCGGUGGUUGGUGGUGCAUGGCCGUUCUUAGUUCGUGGAUCGAUUUGUCUGGUUUAUUCCGAUAACGAGCGAGACUCCAGCCUACUAAAUAGUGCGGGCAUUGCCUCUGUGCCAUGUACUUCUUAGAGGGAUUGGCUGCGUCUAGCGGCACGAAACGGAGCAAUAACAGGUCUGUGAUGCCCUUAGAUGUCCGGGGCUGCACGCGCGCUACACUGGCAAAGGCAGCGUGCUUGUCCGUCUCCGAAAGGAGCCGGUAAACCCUUGAAAAUUUGCCGUGAUUGGGAUCGGAAAUUGCAAUUAUUUUCCGUGAACGAGGAAUUCCUAGUAAGUGCGAGUCAUCAGCUCGCGUUGAUCACUCCCUGCCCUUUGUACACACCGCCCGUCGCUGCCUAGAACUGAGCCAUUUCGAGAAUAUUCGGGAUCGCCGGUUGUGUCGUCCUCCGGGGCGCGCCUCUGGCCUGAGAACGAACGUAAUCGCAGUGGCUUGAACCGGGCAAAAGUCGUAACAAGGUAGCUGUAGGUGAACCUGCUGCUGGAUCAUUACCUUGUCAAUUACGACAUAGUAAGCAAACGUACGGUGCCGCAGUCGUAGACUCACGGUCGGUAGCAAGUCUCUGCUGCUGGCCCUUCUGCGGUGGCCGCUUGGGGAGUUCACGAGUGCCAGCUGACUUGCUGGCGAACAAGCAGUCGCCCCGAACAGACUCUUGUUCAGCUCCUAGCUCGUGAACGAAAACGGCUCGCUGGAUCCUAGGCAAACGCUGAGCAGUUGUUGCAUCUAAUGUCCGUGGCUGCAAAUGAGGCGUUUGUGGUAGCCCCCGAAAGGGGAGGAGGAUUAAUGAGUACCGGAUCGGUGCCUCCAGCAAAAUCUUUUUCACUACAUUUUUUAACAAACAAAUACAUAUUAGUCUUGCCGGUGGAUCA
Molecule: ribosomal RNA, 1183 nt
Filed under: Hemicycliophora conida
Lineage: Eukaryota; Metazoa; Nematoda; Chromadorea; Rhabditida; Hemicycliophoridae
Description: bacterial SSU rRNA
Rfam family: Eukaryotic small subunit ribosomal RNA (bases 1-805)
Source: RNAcentral